UACGUAGGGGGCUAGCGUUGUCCGGAAUCAUUGGGCGUAAAGCGCGUGUAGGCGGUCCGAUAAGUCCGCUGUGAAAGUCGGGGGCUCAACCCUCGGAUGCCGGUGGAUACGGUCGGGCUUGAGUCCGGAAGAGGCGAGUGGAAUUCCUGGUGUAGCGGUGAAAUGCGCAGAUAUCAGGAGGAACACCAAUUGCGAAGGCAGCUCGCUGGGACGUAACUGACACUGAGGCGCGAAAGCGUGGGGAGCGAACAGG
RNAcentral lists this ribosomal RNA (253 nucleotides) under uncultured bacterium. Its description in RNAcentral is "partial 16S ribosomal RNA". It matches the Rfam family "Bacterial small subunit ribosomal RNA", at positions 524 to 776 of the family's 1533-position model. The record is from RNAcentral.